GGAAGCCGGGUUACGGUGCCCAACUGCGCGCUAACCUAGAACCCACAAAGGGUGUUGGUCGAUUAAGACAGCAGGACGGUGGUCAUGGAAGUCGAAAUCCGCUAAGGAGUGUGUAACAACUCACCUGCCGAAUCAACUAGCCCCGAAAAUGGAUGGCGCUGAAGCGGCCGACCCACACCCGGCCAUCUGGGCGAGCGCCAUGCCCCGAUGAGUAGGAGGGCGCGGC
This is a non-coding RNA of Hordeum vulgare subsp. vulgare (domesticated barley), 226 nucleotides long. The record is from Rfam. NCBI's taxonomy places the organism in Eukaryota, Viridiplantae, Streptophyta, Magnoliopsida, Poales, Poaceae.